AAAACUUUCAACUCAACGAUUAAAAAAAGAAUACCAUUCAUAAACUGUUAAUAAAACAACCCACAAAACUGUAAACUUCGGUACACAAGAUUCAUGUACCUACUCCAAAUGAUAAUUCCAAAGGAUAUCGCUAACCGUUUGUACAAACGUAACAGAAGAUUGGACAAGAAAGAGAGAAGAAAAAGGGGAUGUAAUGGGUAAGUUGUUUGGUCGUGAAACCCGGAUGCCAAACCGUAACACCAUAAUCACCGCUCGCCGUAGUUUCACCGUUAAUGACGUUGGCGCGCGUUUGUAACGGGCGCUUCAUCGCGAUGGAGGCCAGUGGAGUUGCGUCUAUUCAUCCCGGAGGAUUAGCCCGUGCCACGGGUUACAGAAUCCGGACGUGUAAGAUGUGGCCAGCAACCAGUCACAAUCAGCGAUCUCUCAAGCGGUGAAGUCCGUUUGCCGCUGUUCCAGAUUGCGUCCUUGCCGCGCGGAGUGCAACGGCAUGCGUGUCGCAGUUAGCAAGAAGUUACUUGUUAAUUACAAAGACUCAGUAAUAUCAAUGAAUAUAAAUAUGCAAUCAAGAAGAAGGAGAACAAGAAAUGUUUUUGAUACUUAAGUAGUUUUAUUUGGAUACAACCACCAUAAUGACUACCGAGCUGUCAAAGAGAUAAUAUUUCGCAAAAGCAACUCAACUGAAAACUUAUCUCUCUUAUUAUGUCACGAUCAAUAACAUCUCAGCAGAAGUUUUCUUUUUUUAUGGUAGUACCUAUAUGUCGGUUUAUCAAGGUAUACUUGUACGAUAUUACUGCGUGUUAUUAAUCGUUCGUUGGUCCACACAUGAAUACAUUUGUCACAUUUGCACGCAUAAAUGUCAUACAGUGAAAUCUUGAUUAUUAGAACAUUAAUUAUCGCUCAAUGAAAAAUUAUGAGCGACACGUUGUAAGCAAAAUUGCGAAAGGAUAAUAAAAUAAAUUAUUAUAUCUUUAUUUAAAAGUUCCCGUUUGAUAAUAAUAUCUACGAAAUAAUUUAAAAGGAAUUAUAUCUCGUAUAAAAACUGUUCGCAUAUGAGAAAUUCGAUUAUUCGAAUAACGUGUGCCGCAGAUAUUUUUC
RNAcentral lists this unclassified non-coding RNA (1095 nucleotides) under Bombus terrestris (buff-tailed bumblebee). Its description in RNAcentral is "misc RNA ENSBTSG00005031262.1". The record is from RNAcentral. Lineage: Eukaryota; Metazoa; Arthropoda; Insecta; Hymenoptera; Apidae.